UACGUAGGGUGCGAGCGUUGUCCGGAAUUAUUGGGCGUAAAGAGCUCGUAGGCGGUGUGUCACGUCGUUCGUGAAAACCUGCAGCUUAACUGUGGGCGUGCGGUCGAUACGGGCAUCACUGGAGUUCGGCAGGGGAGACUGGAAUUCCUGGUGUAGCGGUGAAAUGCGCAGAUAUCAGGAAGAACACCGAUGGCGAAGGCAGCUCUCUGGGACGGUACUGACGCUGAGACGCGAAAGCGUGGGGAGCGAACAGG
RNAcentral lists this ribosomal RNA (254 nucleotides) under uncultured bacterium. RNAcentral's name for it is "partial 16S ribosomal RNA". It matches the Rfam family "Bacterial small subunit ribosomal RNA", at positions 524 to 776 of the family's 1533-position model. The record is from RNAcentral.